RNAcentral lists this transfer RNA (73 nucleotides) under Ovis aries (sheep). It matches the Rfam family "tRNA". Rfam says of the family: Transfer RNA (tRNA) molecules are approximately 80 nucleotides in length. Their secondary structure includes four short double-helical elements and three loops (D, anti-codon, and T loops). The record is from Rfam by way of RNAcentral. Lineage: Eukaryota; Metazoa; Chordata; Mammalia; Artiodactyla; Bovidae.
UCCCUGGUGGUCCGGUGGUUAGGACUCGGUGCUUUCACUGCCAAGGGCCUGGGUUCAAUCCCUGGUCAGGGAA